Molecule: ribosomal RNA, 1371 nt
Filed under: Triticum aestivum (bread wheat)
Lineage: Eukaryota; Viridiplantae; Streptophyta; Magnoliopsida; Poales; Poaceae
Description: partial small subunit ribosomal RNA
Source: RNAcentral
AUGGCGUGCACCAUGUGUGGCGCACUUUUGCUCCUUGGCCUCGUCCUGAUCCUGACGCCGCUGCUGUGUGGGUGCACCGGCGGCGGGUUCAGCGUGGAGCUCACCCACCGGGACUCCCCCGGGUCGCCGUUCCACGACGCGUCGCUCACCCCGCAGGCCCGCUGGCUUGCCGCCGUGUGGCGCUCGUACGCCGGCUCAGGUUCAGACUCUCCUGACCCUGACGGCGCGGUGUCGGAGGUGGUGUCAGGCUCGUUCGAGUACUUCAUGCACGUCAACAUCGGCUCGCCGCGCACCCGGAUGCUCGCCCUCGUCGACUCCGGCAGCGACCUCGUGUGGCUCAGGUGCACCAACGGUUCUGCUUCUCCGGCAUCGCCACCGCCGGCAGAAGCCGGCGGACGGAGCAGCGUGUUCGACCUCUCCUCGUCGUCGACCUACGGCCGCGUGGGCUGCCAGUCCGACCCGUGCCGCUCGGUCCCCGGCACCUCCUGCGACGCCGCCUCCUUCUGCCAGUACACCUACUCGUACCUCGACGGCUCCAGCAGCAGCGGCCUCGUGGCCACCGAGACCUUCACCUUCGACGACGCUCCCGGCGGCUGCACGGGGUGCCGCGAGCGCCCGCAGCUGCAGGUGCCCAGAGUCACCUUCGGCUGCGCCACCACCGUCCACUUCGCCGGCAACGGCAUUGUCGGCCUCGCCGACGCGGAAUCCUCCCUCAUCAACCAGAUCGGCGCCGCGACGUCGCUCGGCCGGAGGUUCUCCUACUGCCUGGCGCCCUUCUUCAGCGACGUGUCCUCCGCGCUCAACUUCGGCGCCCGCGCCGCCGUGACGGAGCCGGACGCGGUCACCACGCCGAUGGUGCAGCACUCCUCCGCCGUGGGGGCCUACUACACCGUCGAGAUCGUGGCCCUCAGGGUCGGGAACACGACCGUCAAGCUGCCGAGCCGGUCCCCGGUCAUCGUCGACUCCGGGACGGUGCUGACGUACCUCGACAAGGAGCUGCUGGACCCCAUCGUGGAGGCGCUCGCCCGGAGCAUCAAGCUCCCUCGCAAGCAGUCGCCGAAGCCGGAGUUGUUCUCGCUGUGCUACGAGGCGGGCGGUCUGGAGGUGCUGGACAAGGUGUUCCCGGGCGUUACGUUGGAGCUGGGCGGGGGCGCCUUGGUGACGCUCAAGGCGGAGAACGUGUUCGUGGACCUUCUGCUGCGGACCGUGUGCUUGGCCAUGGCGCCGGUGACGCCUGAGCGGCCGGUGGCGGCGAUCGGCAACAUCAUGCAGCAGAACAUGCACGUCGGCUACGACCUGGACAAGCGCACCAUCACCUUCGCCCCUGCCGACUGCGCAAAAUCUUACCCCUCCCCUCCCGCCUUUGUGUAG